UGGAGCUAUGUAAAAUAGAUAUUAAUUCGUUUUUGAAAGAUAUUGGUAAAAUAUAUUAAUAGUCCAUAUAAUAGAAAAUUCAGAAGGACGGAUGAGUGAUUUAGUUCUUAAAAGCGGUUAAUUACAGAAUAACGGUUAGAAUCUGGAGAAUCAAAAGAAAGUAUAUAGGAGUUGUAGAAGUUAAUUAAGGUGCCAAAUUGUGAUAGUCAUGAGCCGAGGGCCAUCGCUAUGAAAAUGUGAGCCGGGGUAAGCUUGGUGCUACUUCUUUUCUUUUAUUUGUUAUUUUCUUUGAAUAAGAGGAUUGAAAGUUUUUGAAUAUUGUGAAAUGAAUUAUGGAAUGGAAAUGUGAUUGGUAUUAUUUGAGAAGAAGAAAGAUUGAAUGCUGAAAUCUGAUUGUAGUUCAGCAGAGAGAAUGAAUUUGUAUUUGUGUGAAACACCAUAAUGUGAAUGGCAGUUCUAUGUGAAGAAUUCCACUGAUUGAAAUGAGGGUAAUUGUGUGCUGAAAGCUGUGAGGGCGUAGUAUUACAGGUUGGAGAUUAUGAGGGUGAAUAUAUUGGUGGAAAUAGCAGUUAUUGGUAUGACUGAAUUGCUGUAAGGAAGAGACCGAUAAGGUGAAGGAGGAGAUUAUAGUUUCCUUGUGUGUUCAGAUAUUAGAAAUAGAGAUGAUA
Molecule: long non-coding RNA, 668 nt
Filed under: Physcomitrium patens
Lineage: Eukaryota; Viridiplantae; Streptophyta; Bryopsida; Funariales; Funariaceae
Description: long non-coding RNA (PPAT_LNC009915)
Source: RNAcentral